CACGACUCUCGGCAACGGAUAUCUCGGCUCUCGCAUCGAUGAAGAACGUAGCGAAAUGCGAUACCUGGUGUGAAUUGCAGAAUCCCGCGAACCAUCGAGUCUUUGAACGCAAGUUGCGCCCGAGACCAUUCGGUCGAGGGCACGCCUGCCUGGGCGUCAC
This 160-nucleotide ribosomal RNA is filed under the name Arrhenatherum album var. album. RNAcentral describes it as "5.8S ribosomal RNA". It matches the Rfam family "5.8S ribosomal RNA". Rfam says of the family: 5.8S ribosomal RNA (5.8S rRNA) is a component of the large subunit of the eukaryotic ribosome. It is transcribed by RNA polymerase I as part of the 45S precursor that also contains 18S and 28S rRNA. The record is from RNAcentral. Lineage: Eukaryota; Viridiplantae; Streptophyta; Magnoliopsida; Poales; Poaceae.